Molecule: small RNA, 229 nt
Filed under: Pseudomonas cedrina
Lineage: Bacteria; Pseudomonadati; Pseudomonadota; Gammaproteobacteria; Pseudomonadales; Pseudomonadaceae
Description: Pseudomonas sRNA P17
Rfam family: Pseudomonas sRNA P17
Source: RNAcentral
GCAAAGAACAAGUGGCACUCUCCAGUGACUAUCUCGAUGGGCAAUUGACCUUUCGCGAGCGUCUGCUGGUGCGUCAUCACUUGGUGUUCUGCCCGAACUGCCGACGGUUUAUCCGCCAGAUGCGCCUGAUGCAGGCGACGCUGAAGAUCAUGCCGGAUGAACCGGUAGAGGGGGUGGAUGCCUUGGCGCAACGGUUGGCUGAAGAACGGCUCAAGCACCGCAAAGGCGG